Molecule: ribosomal RNA, 2918 nt
Filed under: Acinetobacter baumannii
Lineage: Bacteria; Pseudomonadati; Pseudomonadota; Gammaproteobacteria; Moraxellales; Moraxellaceae
Description: 23S ribosomal RNA
Rfam family: Bacterial large subunit ribosomal RNA
Source: RNAcentral
GUUGUAUAGUCAAGUAAUUAAGUGCAUGUGGUGGAUGCCUUGGCAGUCAGAGGCGAUGAAAGACGUGAUAGCCUGCGAAAAGCUCCGGGGAGGCGGCAAAUAUCCUUUGAUCCGGAGAUGUCUGAAUGGGGGAACCCACCUACUUUAAGGUAGGUAUUGCAACAUGAAUACAUAGUGUUGCAAGGCGAACGAGGGGAAGUGAAACAUCUCAGUACCCUUAGGAAAAGAAAUCAAUUGAGAUUCCCUCAGUAGCGGCGAGCGAACGGGGAUCAGCCCAUUAAGUUAUGUGUGUUUUAGUGGAACGCUCUGGGAAGUGCGAACGUAGAGGGUGAUAUUCCCGUACACGAAAGGGCACACAUAAUGAUGACGAGUAGGGCGAGGCACGUGAAACCUUGUCUGAAUAUGGGGGGACCAUCCUCCAAGGCUAAAUACUCCUGACUGACCGAUAGUGAACCAGUACCGUGAGGGAAAGGCGAAAAGAACCCCUGUGAGGGGAGUGAAAUAGAUCCUGAAACCGCAUGCAUACAAGCAGUGGGAGCACCUUCGUGGUGUGACUGCGUACCUUUUGUAUAAUGGGUCAGCGACUUAUAUUCAGUAGCGAGGUUAACCGUAUAGGGGAGCCGUAGAGAAAUCGAGUCUUAAUAGGGCGUUUAGUUGCUGGGUAUAGACCCGAAACCAGGCGAUCUAUCCAUGAGCAGGUUGAAGGUUGGGUAACACUAACUGGAGGACCGAACCCACUGUCGUUGAAAAGCCAGGGGAUGACUUGUGGAUAGGGGUGAAAGGCUAAUCAAGCCUGGUGAUAGCUGGUUCUCCCCGAAAGCUAUUUAGGUAGCGCCUCGGACGAAUACCAUAGGGGGUAGAGCACUGUUUCGGCUAGGGGGUCAUCCCGACUUACCAAACCGAUGCAAACUCCGAAUACCUAUGAGUACUAUCCGGGAGACAGACUGCGGGUGCUAACGUCCGUAGUCAAGAGGAAAACAAUCCAGACCGCCAGCUAAGGCCCCAAAAUCAUAGUUAAGUGGGAAACGAUGUGGGAAGGCAUAGACAGCUAGGAGGUUGGCUUAGAAGCAGCCACCCUUUAAAGAAAGCGUAAUAGCUCACUAGUCGAGUCGGCCUGCGCGGAAGAUGUAACGGGGCUAAAACUAUGUGCCGAAGCUGCGGAUGUAUACUUUGUAUACGUGGUAGGGGAGCGUUCUGUAAGCCGAUGAAGGUGUGUUGAGAAGCAUGCUGGAGGUAUCAGAAGUGCGAAUGCUGACGUGAGUAACGACAAAACGGGUGAAAAACCCGUUCGCCGAAAGACCAAGGGUUCCAGUCCAACGUUAAUCGGGGCUGGGUGAGUCGACCCCUAAGGCGAGGCCGAAAGGCGUAGUCGAUGGGAAAAUGGUUAAUAUUCCAUUACUUCUGUGUAAUGCGAUGAGAGGACGGAGAAGGCUAAAUCAGCCUGGCGUUGGUUGUCCAGGUGAAAGGAUGUAGGCAUGUAUCUUAGGCAGAUCCGGGGUACUCUAUGCUGAGAUCUGAUAGCAAGCUGUACUUGUACAGCGAAGUGGUUGAUGCCAUGCUUCCAGGAAAAGUCUCUAAGCUUCAGUUACACAGGAAUCGUACCCGAAACCGACACAGGUGGUCAGGUCGAGUAGACCAAGGCGCUUGAGAGAACUCUGCUGAAGGAACUAGGCAAAAUGGUACCGUAACUUCGGGAGAAGGUACGCUGUUGUUGGUGAUGGAACUCGCUUCCUGAGCUGACGACAGCCGCAGAAACCAGGCCGCUGCAACUGUUUAUUAAAAACAUAGCACUCUGCAAACACGAAAGUGGACGUAUAGGGUGUGAUGCCUGCCCGGUGCUGGAAGGUUAAUUGAUGGGGUUAGCGUAAGCGAAGCUCUUGAUCGAAGCCCCAGUAAACGGCGGCCGUAACUAUAACGGUCCUAAGGUAGCGAAAUUCCUUGUCGGGUAAGUUCCGACCUGCACGAAUGGCAUAAUGAUGGCGGCGCUGUCUCCAGCAGAGGCUCAGUGAAAUCGAAAUCGCUGUGAAGAUGCAGUGUACCCGCGGCUAGACGGAAAGACCCCGUGAACCUUUACUGCAGCUUGACACUGAACUUUGACCUUACUUGUGUAGGAUAGGUGGGAGGCUUUGAAGCUGGAACGCUAGUUCCAGUGGAGCCGUCCUUGAAAUACCACCCUGGUAAUGUUGAGGUUCUAACUCUGUCCCGUGAUCCGGGACGAGGACCGUGUCUGGUGGGUAGUUUGACUGGGGCGGUCUCCUCCUAAAGAGUAACGGAGGAGUACGAAGGUGCGCUCAGCGUGGUCGGAAAUCACGCGUAGAGUAUAAAGGCAAAAGCGCGCUUAACUGCGAGACCCACAAGUCGAGCAGGUACGAAAGUAGGUCUUAGUGAUCCGGUGGUUCUGUAUGGAAGGGCCAUCGCUCAACGGAUAAAAGGUACUCUGGGGAUAACAGGCUGAUACCGCCCAAGAGUUCAUAUCGACGGCGGUGUUUGGCACCUCGAUGUCGGCUCAUCUCAUCCUGGGGCUGAAGCAGGUCCCAAGGGUAUGGCUGUUCGCCAUUUAAAGAGGUACGCGAGCUGGGUUUAGAACGUCGUGAGACAGUUCGGUCCCUAUCUACCGUGGGCGCUGGAAAUUUGAGAGGAUCUGCUCCUAGUACGAGAGGACCAGAGUGGACGAACCUCUGGUGUACCGGUUGUGACGCCAGUCGCAUCGCCGGGUAGCUAUGUUCGGAAGGGAUAACCGCUGAAAGCAUCUAAGCGGGAAGCCUACCUCAAGAUAAGAUUUCCCUAGGACUUUAUGUCCUCUAAAGAGCCGUUCGAGACUAGGACGUUGAUAGGUUGGAUGUGGAAGCAUAGUGAUAUGUGAAGCUGACCAAUACUAAUUGCUCGUGAGGCUUGACUAUACAACACCCAAGCAGUUG